UGCUGUAACACACCAUUUUAUCAGAUUCUUCUUAGUAUUUAUUCAGAACUGUAACCACUUCCUUCUGAGUUGAACCUUCACCUGCCAGGACCAUGUUCUCAUUCCCAGCAGAAACCAAACACACUCCAGCUGAUAACAGUAUUAUUGGCUGAGGGCAGAUAUGACUUUAACCCAGAGACCUCUGGACGCUCGGGUGGGGGGAGGUCUGUUAGAGGUUAAAACUCGGUUGUACAAACAUACAACCCCUCUACACACACAAACCCUCAGAAACACACACACAGACAGAAUAGCGACAGUAGGUGUGCGUUUGACGCGACUAACAGAUGUUGCUGCCUGGUUCCAGCUGUUCCCUACCUGGCUCCUCAGAAAACAAAUGCCAACUAAUUUUUGUCUCACUGAGUCUAUUCAUUGACACUACUAUAAAGAUUGUAAGUAAAAUUAAUCCAAGUACUAUAUUUAUUUGAAUACUGAUUAUUCACUAUAAUAGAGGACUGUAUCUGAUCUAUGAUGAUUGAUUACUGACAUCUCCUUUUAUUUCUUACCAGGUUUCUUCUGUUUCCAGGUCACAUGAGUAUCCGUGUUCAUUUCAUCAUGUGUACAGUUUCUGUUUGCAGCACUUGUGUGUUUUUAAGUGUCAGUGUACAGUAGUCUGCUUGGACAAAGACAGCCCGUCGGUCUUAUUGAAUCUGGUGCAGAUCAGCAACGUGACCACCUGUGUCUCUUAUCAUGUUACUCGGCGUGCAUGUGAACACAUGAACACAUUAUUCUUUAUGCAAGAAUCUAGGUCAGUGUUGCAACCAGGAGUACAGCAGGGCAGGAGUGAAAUCCUGACAUGAGGUGAAACUUACCCAAAUGGUCACAGCAUUACAGUUGCCAGUGUUUACAACUUUUUGUUACAUUAUUGAAAUUGCUCUUUCCCCACUGACAGCUUCAGUUGCAUCUCCAGCUGUCCAAUCUGUCUUUGAAUUUCCUCUUUAUGUUUUGUUCCUUUUCUCCUUACGUACUAAGGAUUUGUCUGAGAGUUCUCUUGUUUUCCUAGAGAGCUUGAGCUGGGUCAGGAACCACAGCUUUGGAGUAAGCCCUCUAAAGCCCAUUGAGAAAUUACAUGUGAUAUCGGGCUUUACAAAUGAACUUGACUUGACUUGUCAUCGUCAGAACAGUUAUGAUGAGAAGCUGUUUUCCCUCUAGACCUGGUUGAAUAAUACAUGCCUUUAUUAAAGGCUGUCAGUGACACUGUUAUCUUUAGCCUGAAGCUGCUGACAGUAGAUUUUUUUGCAGCAGUAGUAGCAUAAAACUCAAUGAAAAAGUUAAUGUUUCCCUUAGGAUUUGAUUACUGGUAGAAAGAAAAAAAUGGGAUGAGGCACUAAAACUCUUCAUAGACAAAAAAAAUACAUGAUUUGUAAUGUUGGCUAUUUUCAUAAUGUGCAGCACAAAAGAGAAAGACUAUACUGCAAUAAAUAUCAUUAUGAUAUACAUUUCUUAUAACCCUUUUUAUGACAGUAUGAUUACUGGUAUAAUCUGUCAGCUCCGCUUUGGCCUCCACCAACUCCAGAGGAAAAUAUGUGGCGCUGACACUGCAAAAUGCUCCACUAUGUUCAUCGGCUAGUCGCUUACUUUGUCAUUUGGUGUUUUAUUACAUUUUAACAUAUCUGUAUCAUGGAAUGAAAACCUGACAUGACACUCAAAAUGGUGAGCAUUACCUUGGCCAUUAACGCUGGAGUGGUUGUGUGCUCUUUAGCUCUACCUUAUUCCUCUCACACAAAGUCUUCACACAUUUUGCCUCUUGGCCUCAGUUGCUCUGACAGCCUCACUUCUUCUGGAAAGCCUUUUACAAGAGCGUAAUAUAACCCAUCAGUAAAUUUCAAGCUCAGCGCUGGAAACUACCUCUAUGAAGAUUAAUUCACAUGCCAAGAUGUUUGACAAGGAAUUAAUGCGGAGCCCAAUGAGUGGCUAUAACACUCGGCAAUGAAUGACUUCAUACAUGUCUCCAGAAAUGAAAAAAAAAAAGAAAACGUUAUUUCAAGUUUAUCUAGCACUCCUCUAAUAAACAGCAGCAGAGGAAAAGGGCUUUAAUUGGAAGUUCUGGCCCAGUUGAGGGCGCUGGGAAGCAGCAAAACGUGCCGCUGUGUAAACACACAGUGACAGAUUUGCCACUUUAUCAGCAGAGAGAUCUCAAACCUCUCAUUUCCUCUGGAGAUCAGGAGUCCCUGAGGAUUUCAUUGUGGAUAUGAGACGAGGAGGGUAUGAUGUGCUCUCCCAUCAAUAUUAUUUCAGCGAUAUAUGGUUGUGAAUGCCUCCAGCUGGAAUUCACUAAACUCCCCCAAACAGCGACAGUCCAAUCAUACUAGGCAUGGUUGGCCAGUCAAGCUUUGGAUUUCUCCACAUGUUAAAGCGGUGUGCACAGGGCUCUGAACUGAGCGAUACCUGGCAUUUAAAGACUUAAGAGGAUGGCGUCUUUUUUAAUCUUUCCAAAAGCAAAAAAGACAAGAAUGGAUAAAACUGUGUGUAAUCCCCUCUAAUGAAAGAUGCAAUUCUUAGCAUGUCUAAUAUGCUAAUGAGCACAAUGGUGGCUCCGUCCUGCCCUUUUUAAAUUUAGGGAUAUUUUAAGCAACGCCAGCAAUGUUUCCCAAAACAGUGUUAGAUUUCCCAUAUACAGUUUAGUUCAGUUUAUCUGUUAUCAGUCCUCAUCCUAAAGGCUUUUUUUCUUGUAUCGUAGUGUCACAUACUGUUUGAAAAAACAAGCAAGCAUGCAAGCAGCCAAACAAGAAUAUAUUAGAUCAGCUGGGUAGGUCUCUAUUCACUAUUACAAUCAUUAAAAAGCAAAAACAGUAGGGUUAGCUAGUGUUAGCUAACUAACAUUACAUUAGGAACAAUACACAGCCAACAUUUUUCUGGAUUUGUUUUAGGUUUUCAAAAAAGAGAAUAAACCUAACUUGUGAUUGUAAUUAUGACAAGUGCCCCAGGAACAGUGUUUGACCAUAUCUUAAAAAUACAGCAAAAAGCUAGAAAAUGACACCUUUCGCAUACGAGUCAAUGGAGCGCAGCCAUGAAAGUGUCGGACCACAGUUAAAGCGAGUCCUAUACUGCAAUGUGAUUGGCCAGCUGCAUGUUCGGGGCGUGGCUAAGAAAAGGGUCAAUUACAGAAGCAAGCGUCAUUGGAAGGUUGUUGGUUCAGUAGUUAGUUGUUACAGUUAUCAUUGUUCAUUCUAUCUUGUGACUUGCUUUCAAUAAAUGGGGUUCAGAAGUUUCCAAAACAUUGUCUCUUGGAAAUGAAUUUACAUAAGGUCUGGCCCUGGGUAAAUAAGUGAUGUUUUGUACCAAAAUGACACACACCAAGGAAUGAGAGAGGCAGAUUGUGAUUUUGGUCCCAAAUCAUAAAUGCUUUGGUCCUACUGACUCACCGUCUGUAAUUAUAUUCAUUAUCGCCAUCAGUUAGUUAUAACAUGCCAAAUUUCUCAUUGUCAUGCCUGGUUUCUGGUUUAAGCUUGUACUCAAUUUUAUGAACUUAUAUUGCCAGUGGGAGUGAAACUAGCCUUGUUUUUGUAACAGUUUAAAAUCUUAAAUAAAGGUGGAAGAAGGCAGGUUUCUGUCUCAUGCGACUCAAGAAGCAUGAUUUAUGAAUGAGUGAAUAGGAUUACAAAAAAAUAAAGAAGCAAAAUCCUCUUUCCUUUGUAACAUCCACUUCUCUGUUUAGUUUGGAUUUCAGGCCAUUCUGACUGUUUGUUUAUGUUGAGUCACCUUUUGAAAUUAGAGAUUAUUAAGGUUAGUUCCACUAGCUACAGUAACAACAGAUGUGUGUGUGUGUGUGUGUGUGUGUGUGUGUGUGUGUGUGAGAGAGAGAGAGUGUUGCUGUGUGUGUCCAACAUCUCUCAAUGGUGGAAUGCACCAUUGAGAGAUGUGUGACUGUUGCCGGCUAAACUUCAUGGGAAACAACCAACGGCGUCCGCUGUUCACCUUGGAGAAAGUCCCGCGUGGCGCUCACCAAAAAAAAACCAAACCCCUGAAUGGCUCCACACAAGCCCAAGUUUGAGAUUGAUCAUUCAAAUAAACAUGAGUUUGUUUA
Micropterus salmoides (largemouth bass) is the source of this 4063-nucleotide long non-coding RNA. RefSeq lists it as uncharacterized. The record is from RefSeq and is a predicted model, not a curated record. NCBI's taxonomy places the organism in Eukaryota, Metazoa, Chordata, Actinopteri, Centrarchiformes, Centrarchidae. The transcript has 2 exons.